RNAcentral lists this ribosomal RNA (349 nucleotides) under Cryptochiton stelleri (gumboot chiton). RNAcentral's name for it is "partial 18S ribosomal RNA". It matches the Rfam family "Eukaryotic small subunit ribosomal RNA", at positions 199 to 537 of the family's 1831-position model. The record is from RNAcentral. Lineage: Eukaryota; Metazoa; Mollusca; Polyplacophora; Chitonida; Mopaliidae.
AAGAGNNNUUUUAUUAGAUCAAGAUCAAUACGUGCCGCAAGGUGCGUNCUCGUUGGUGAUUCUNAAUAACUUUGUGCURAUCGCACGGGCCUCGCGCCGGCGACGUAUCUUUCAAGUGUCUGCCCUAUCAACUUUCGAUGGUACGUGCUAUGCCUACCAUGGUUAUAACGGGUAACGGAGAAUCAGGNUUCGAUUCCGGAGAGGGAGCAUGAGAAACGGCUACCACAUCCAAGGAAGGCAGCAGGCGCGCNAAUUACCCACUCCUGGCMCGGGGAGGUAGUGACGAAAAAUAACAAUACGGGAUCUCUUNNAGGCCCCGUAAUUGGAAUGAGUACACUUUAAAUCCUUU